Canis lupus familiaris (dog) is the source of this 1379-nucleotide long non-coding RNA. RefSeq lists it as uncharacterized. The record is from RefSeq and is a predicted model, not a curated record. Lineage: Eukaryota; Metazoa; Chordata; Mammalia; Carnivora; Canidae. The transcript is spliced from 3 exons.
GGGGGCGCUCCCUGGAAGGCGGGCCGGGCGUCCGCGGACGUCACCCGCUGCGGGCCGAGCGCUGGUGCCUGGCCAGCCCUCAUUUGUUUGCUAACGACAGAAACCACACUAAGUGCUGCUGUAUCUAAGGGUUCGACGGAGGACGUUAACUUUCUCUCGACCUGUAAGGUAGACCUCAUUGUUCUCAUUUUACGGAGGAGAUGGAGACCCUGAGACUAAGAGCGAGCGACCUAACAGUUGUUAAGGAUACAGCUGAUGUACACAAGAAAAGUUGGGAUUGUCUGCCAGAGAAAACUGAAGAUUUUUGAAGUUACUGUGAUGCCAUUAUGAAUUUACUCCACAAACUUGGGAGUGUAAGAAAUACCUUAGGACUUUAUUUUAAAGGAUUUUGUUUAUUUGAGACAGAGGGUGGGGUGGGUAGAGAGUGAAUGUGCAGAGGGAGGAGCAGAGGAAGAAAGGAUAGGUGGACUCUAAGCUGAGUGCAGAGCCUCCAUUCCGGGCUGGACCUAAUAACCCAGAGGUCGUGACUGGAACCAAAAUCAAGAGUCUUUCGCUUAACCAACUGAGCCACCCAGGUGUGCCUGACUUUAUAGUUCAAUAAUAAAAUGAAAUCCGACUUUGUUCCCAUCCUGAUACUAAUGAGAAGUUAAAUCUUUGUCAUUGUCCUCUGCCUUAGCUAUAGAAUUGUGGGAAUGCCCUAGAGUGUCAGGUGGAAUCGGAAUGUUUGGGGAAAGACAAUGCAUCAUCAGAAUAUACCGUACAAAGCCCUGUGGUCCUGUCGGUGGUUCCAGGAUUCCUGAGACAUCUUCAGUAGGGGGUUCCUUUGUCUAGUUGUUGAACUUCUUUAAAAGCAUCUGAAGUCCUGUUCACUCCCUCAGGGUACCGGAGGGAGCCCACAGAAUCCAGAGACCUCUAUUUUCUUUCCAGUCUUAGAGGAAUCUCUUCUCUCUCCUAUGCUUUCAUCCUUGUUAUUUAAACUUUGAAAAGCCCUUGUCUUUCUCCUGUCUUGAUGACAUAGCAAGGAUUAAUUAAUAAAGGAUUAGAUUCCUUUGACAUUUUGUUAUUAACAGGAUAUUCUUGUAAAAUCUUGUCCUUCAAAAAAAAAAACAAAACAAAAAAAAAAAACAAAAAAAAAACUUGUCUUUCCAAGAAAGAAGUCAGACCUGUCUGUUGCAAUUGCAAUGAGUCAGGGGAUUUAUAUAGCCGGCAAGAACUGGCCCAUACUGUGUAAAACCGAUGUCAUCUAUGGCCAUUUUUCCUCUCCUUAUAGAAACCUUCCCUAACCAUCCUACUAAAGCAAGCCAGCCUUCCCUUAAUCUCUGUGAUACUAUCCUUUACGUUUCUUUUAUAGCAUUUAAUAAAUUCUUAAGUUAUCUUGU